RNAcentral lists this ribosomal RNA (790 nucleotides) under Salmonella enterica subsp. enterica serovar Bareilly str. CFSAN000220. Its description in RNAcentral is "bacterial LSU rRNA". It matches the Rfam family "Bacterial large subunit ribosomal RNA", at positions 1 to 822 of the family's 2925-position model. The record is from RNAcentral. Lineage: Bacteria; Pseudomonadati; Pseudomonadota; Gammaproteobacteria; Enterobacterales; Enterobacteriaceae.
GGGUUGUGAGGUUAAGCGACUAAGCGUACACGGUGGAUGCCCUGGCAGUCAGAGGCGAUGAAGGGCGUGCUAAUCUGCGAUAAGCGCCGGUAAGGUGAUAUGAACCGUUAUAACCGGCGAUACCCGAAUGGGGAAACCCAGUGUGACUCGUCACACUAUCAUUAACUGAAUCCAUAGGUUAAUGAGGCGAACCGGGGGAACUGAAACAUCUAAGUACCCCGAGGAAAAGAAAUCAACCGAGAUUCCCCCAGUAGCGGCGAGCGAACGGGGAGGAGCCCAGAGCCUGAAUCAGCAUGUGUGUUAGUGGAAGCGUCUGGAAAGGCGCGCGAUACAGGGUGACAGCCCCGUACACAAAAGCGCAUGUGCUGUGAGCUCGAUGAGUAGGGCGGGACACGUGGUAUCCUGUCUGAAUAUGGGGGGACCAUCCUCCAAGGCUAAAUACUCCUGACUGACCGAUAGUGAACCAGUACCGUGAGGGAAAGGCGAAAAGAACCCCGGCGAGGGGAGUGAAAAAGAACCUGAAACCGUGUACGUACAAGCAGUGGGAGCACAGGUUUACCUGUGUGACUGCGUACCUUUUGUAUAAUGGGUCAGCGACUUAUAUUCUGUAGCAAGGUUAACCGAAUAGGGGAGCCGGAGGGAAACCGAGUCUUAAUUGGGCGUUAAGUUGCAGGGUAUAGACCCGAAACCCGGUGAUCUAGCCAUGGGCAGGUUGAAGGUUGGGUAACACUAACUGGAGGACCGAACCGACUAAUGUUGAAAAAUUAGCGGAUGACCUGUGGCUGGGGGU